GAACAAUAUGUUUUCCACAUGGUAGUACGCCGUAUUGCCGUUAGAGUUUGAUGAAUGUUUAAAAUCAGUAUGCCUCACCUGCUGCAACAAGCUCGUGGAUUUUCUCUAUUAUAAGCGGAUGGACCCCAUUGGAAAUGCCGCACACUUCUCCGUGUGGGUGGUUUGUGUGUGCUUGCUGGUUUGGAACUUUGACAAAAAACCUCUUUAUUUUUUUAAUUUGCGCUUCAUUGUGUUCUUAUCGAUUUUUAACUUGUUCAAGAGCGAUGGUUUAAUGACUCGUUCCAUCUACAAUAAUUUGGACACAGCGCAGACGAACGAAGCUUGAAAGAUGUCGAUCCAGCAACUUCGUAUUUUUGUAAAAACUCGUUCAAGUUAGUCUCUCCAUCAAUCCAGCCUGUGAAAUAUUCACCAUUCUCUACGACCUCUUUUAAAUAUCGGCUUAUAACCUGUCGAAUAUCUCGAUUGUUUGCAUUAUUUAAAUUACCCGCCAUUAUGCAAAUGAUCGCGCAAAAAUAAACUUGAAAUUAACUUAAUUUCAUCGCUCAAAAGUAGUUUUCGUGUUAUACGCAAUCGGCACAAGUGACGUCACGACAUGAACUGCUGUACAAAUAGUAAAUCCCUUUUCGAAAAUUUGACGAAUUUAAAUUCACUUAUGGACAAAAUUUUUAAUGCCAUCGGAUAGGAUAUCAAGCAUAUGAGUAAAGAGUUUCCUAUUAGAAUGGUCAACGGAUUUGAUAGAAGCGAUAAAACGACCUACUGUGCGUAAAGAACGUUCUUCAGAUGAAGACGUUAUUGGUAUAAAAUUUGGACUAAACUAAUUUAUUUUAUAUUUGAUUCUUGAAUCGGGGCUUUUUAUUUGCAAUGUAGCUUGUCUGCAUAAUUGUAAUUUAAAGUUUUUAUUUGUAAUUGUAUAUUGAGUUCCUGUGGCUAUAAUGUCUGUCAAAUUUGUAUUAACUUACAAAUAAAGAUGUUUUUUGUUGUCUUAUUUUUAAUAAACAAUAUAUGAAAUUACAAUUUUUUAAAGAAUGAAGUUAUUGAUAAAUUGUUACAAUUAAAUUAACAACUUUACCAUUAUGUCAAA
Long non-coding RNA from Xenia sp. Carnegie-2017, 1081 nucleotides. RefSeq lists it as uncharacterized. The record is from RefSeq and is a predicted model, not a curated record. NCBI's taxonomy places the organism in Eukaryota, Metazoa, Cnidaria, Anthozoa, Malacalcyonacea, Xeniidae. The transcript is spliced from 3 exons.